AAAUUGAAGAGUUUGAUCAUGGCUCAGAUUGAACGCUGGCGGCAGGCCUAACACAUGCAAGUCGAGCGGUAGCACAGAGAGCUUGCUCUCGGGUGACGAGCGGCGGACGGGUGAGUAAUGUCUGGGAAACUGCCUGAUGGAGGGGGAUAACUACUGGAAACGGUAGCUAAUACCGCAUAACGUCGCAAGACCAAAGUGGGGGACCUUCGGGCCUCAUGCCAUCAGAUGUGCCCAGAUGGGAUUAGCUAGUAGGUGGGGUAACGGCUCACCUAGGCGACGAUCCCUAGCUGGUCUGAGAGGAUGACCAGCCACACUGGAACUGAGACACGGUCCAGACUCCUACGGGAGGCAGCAGUGGGGAAUAUUGCACAAUGGGCGCAAGCCUGAUGCAGCCAUGCCGCGUGUGUGAAGAAGGCCUUCGGGUUGUAAAGCACUUUCAGCGGGGAGGAAGGCGAUAAGGUUAAUAACCUUGUCGAUUGACGUUACCCGCAGAAGAAGCACCGGCUAACUCCGUGCCAGCAGCCGCGGUAAUACGGAGGGUGCAAGCGUUAAUCGGAAUUACUGGGCGUAAAGCGCACGCAGGCGGUCUGUCAAGUCGGAUGUGAAAUCCCCGGGCUCAACCUGGGAACUGCAUUCGAAACUGGCAGGCUAGAGUCUUGUAGAGGGGGGUAGAAUUCCAGGUGUAGCGGUGAAAUGCGUAGAGAUCUGGAGGAAUACCGGUGGCGAAGGCGGCCCCCUGGACAAAGACUGACGCUCAGGUGCGAAAGCGUGGGGAGCAAACAGGAUUAGAUACCCUGGUAGUCCACGCCGUAAACGAUGUCGAUUUGGAGGUUGUGCCCUUGAGGCGUGGCUUCCGGAGCUAACGCGUUAAAUCGACCGCCUGGGGAGUACGGCCGCAAGGUUAAAACUCAAAUGAAUUGACGGGGGCCCGCACAAGCGGUGGAGCAUGUGGUUUAAUUCGAUGCAACGCGAAGAACCUUACCUGGUCUUGACAUCCACAGAACUU
RNAcentral lists this ribosomal RNA (1006 nucleotides) under Klebsiella pneumoniae. Its description in RNAcentral is "bacterial SSU rRNA". It matches the Rfam family "Bacterial small subunit ribosomal RNA", at positions 1 to 998 of the family's 1533-position model. Lineage: Bacteria; Pseudomonadati; Pseudomonadota; Gammaproteobacteria; Enterobacterales; Enterobacteriaceae. The record is from RNAcentral. RNAcentral also lists the same sequence under 10 other names.